UUUUAUGGAGAGUUUGAUCCUGGCUCAGGAUGAACGCUGGCGGCGUGCCUAAUACAUGCAAGUCGAGCGAACGGACGAGAAGCUUGCUUCUCUGAUGUUAGCGGCGGACGGGUGAGUAACACGUGGAUAACCUACCUAUAAGACUGGGAUAACUUCGGGAAACCGGAGCUAAUACCGGAUAAUAUUUUGAACCGCAUGGUUCAAAAGGGAAAGACGGACUUGCUGAAACUUAAAGAUGGAUCCGGGCUGCAUUAGCUAGUUGGUAAGGUAACGGCUUACC
Molecule: ribosomal RNA, 280 nt
Filed under: Staphylococcus aureus
Lineage: Bacteria; Bacillati; Bacillota; Bacilli; Caryophanales; Staphylococcaceae
Description: partial 16S ribosomal RNA
Rfam family: Bacterial small subunit ribosomal RNA
Source: RNAcentral